RNAcentral lists this ribosomal RNA (542 nucleotides) under uncultured bacterium. RNAcentral's name for it is "partial 16S ribosomal RNA". It matches the Rfam family "Bacterial small subunit ribosomal RNA", at positions 355 to 889 of the family's 1533-position model. The record is from RNAcentral.
UGGGGAAUUUUGGACAAUGGGCGCAAGCCUGAUCCAGCAAUGCCGCGUGCAGGAUGAAGGCCUUCGGGUUGUAAACUGCUUUUGUACGGAACGAAAAGCCUCUCUCUAAUACAGGGGGGUGAUGACGGUACCGUAAGAAUAAGCACCGGCUAACUACGUGCCAGCAGCCGCGGUAAUACGUAGGGUGCAAGCGUUAAUCGGAAUUACUGGGCGUAAAGCGUGCGCAGGCGGUUUUGUAAGACAGUGGUGAAAUCCCCGGGCUCAACCUGGGAACUGCCAUUGUGACUGCAAGGCUGGAGUGCGGCAGAGGGGGAUGGAAUUCCGCGUGUAGCAGUGAAAUGCGUAGAUAUGCGGAGGAACACCGAUGGCGAAGGCAAUCCCCUGGGCCUGCACUGACGCUCAUGCACGAAAGCGUGGGGAGCAAACAGGAUUAGAUACCCUGGUAGUCCACGCCCUAAACGAUGUCAACUGGUUGUUGGGGAUUUAUUUCUUCAGUAACGAAGCUAACGCGUGAAGUUGACCGCCUGGGGGAGUACGGCCGC